GAAGUCAAUCAGAUGGUCGCGGAAGCAGGAACCGAAAGGUUGCUUCUGAGGAAAGUCCGGGCUCCAUAGGGCAAGGUGCUGGGUAACGCCCAGUGGGAGAGAUCCUAAGGACAGUGCAACAGAGAUAUACCGCCGAUAGCGGAGGUUGGUCGCUAGACUGACUUUCGAGUAGGUAAGGGUGGAAAGGCGAGGUAAGAGCUCACCGGCAGCCUGGUGACAGGCUGGCCCUGCAAACCCCACUUGGAGCAAGACUGAAUAGGGAGACUAUGAACGGCCCGUUUUUGUCUCCGGGUAAGGUCGCUUGAGGCCGUUGGUAACAACGGUCCUAGAUAGAUGAUCAUCGCCUUCUGAAAGGAAGGAACAGAACCCGGCUUAUAGAUUGGCUUCGCCU
RNAcentral lists this RNase P RNA (391 nucleotides) under Desulfitobacterium dichloroeliminans LMG P-21439. Its description in RNAcentral is "Bacterial RNase P class A". It matches the Rfam family "Bacterial RNase P class A". From Rfam's summary of the family: Ribonuclease P (RNase P) is a ubiquitous endoribonuclease, found in archaea, bacteria and eukarya as well as chloroplasts and mitochondria. Its best characterised activity is the generation of mature 5'-ends of tRNAs by cleaving the 5'-leader elements of precursor-tRNAs. Lineage: Bacteria; Bacillati; Bacillota; Clostridia; Eubacteriales; Desulfitobacteriaceae. The record is from Rfam by way of RNAcentral.